GUAAAGCUCUGUUGUUAGGGAAGAACAAGUACCGUUCGAAUAGGGCGGUACCUUGACGGUACCUAACCAGAAAGCCACGGCUAACUACGUGCCAGCAGCCGCGGUAAUACGUAGGUGGCAAGCGUUGUCCGGAAUUAUUGGGCGUAAAGCGCGCGCAGGCGGUCUUUUAAGUCUGAUGUGAAACGCCCACGGGCUCAACCGUGGAGGGUCAUUGGAAACUGGAGGACUUGAGUGCAGAAGAGGAGAGUGGAAUUCCACGUGUAGCGGUGAAAUGCGUAGAUAUGUGGAGGAACACCAGUGGCGAAGGCGGCUCUCUGGUCUGUAACUGACGCUGAGGCGCGAAAGCGUGGGGAGCAAACAGGAUUAGAUACCCUGGUAGUCCACGCCGUAAACGAUGAGUGCUAGGUGUUGGGGGGUUCCACCCUCAGUGCUGAAGUUAACACAUUAAGCACUCCGCCUGGGGAGUACGACCGCAAGGUUGAAACUCAAAGGAAUUUGACGGGGCGCCCGCACAAGCAGUGGAGCACUGUGGUUUUAAUUCGAAAGCAACGCGAAGGAACUUACCAGGUCUUUGANAUCCUCUGAA
This 586-nucleotide ribosomal RNA is filed under the name Bacillus sp. UST050418-098. Its description in RNAcentral is "bacterial SSU rRNA". It matches the Rfam family "Bacterial small subunit ribosomal RNA", at positions 425 to 995 of the family's 1533-position model. The record is from RNAcentral. Lineage: Bacteria; Bacillati; Bacillota; Bacilli; Caryophanales; Bacillaceae.